GUGCUUGCUUUGGUAGCACAUAUACUAAAAUUGGAAUGAUACAGAGAUUAUCAUGGCCCCUGCGCAAGGAUGAUGUGCAAAUUUGUGAAGCAUUUCAUGUUUUU
Molecule: small nuclear RNA, 104 nt
Filed under: Cervus elaphus hippelaphus
Lineage: Eukaryota; Metazoa; Chordata; Mammalia; Artiodactyla; Cervidae
Source: RNAcentral